RNAcentral lists this ribosomal RNA (424 nucleotides) under uncultured Thermoplasmatales archaeon. RNAcentral's name for it is "bacterial SSU rRNA". It matches the Rfam family "Archaeal small subunit ribosomal RNA", at positions 322 to 747 of the family's 1478-position model. The record is from RNAcentral. Lineage: Archaea; Methanobacteriati; Thermoplasmatota; Thermoplasmata; Thermoplasmatales.
CCUACGGGGUGCACCAGUCGCGAAAACUUCACAAUGGGGGCAACCCCGAUGAGGGAAUUCCUAAUGCUAGCACAUUUGUGUUAGCUUUUCUUUAGCGUAGAUAACUAGAGGAAUAAGGGCUGGGAAAGACGGGUGCCAGCCGCCGCGGUAAUACCUGCAGCCCAAGUGGUGGUCGAGUUUAUUGAGUCUAAAACGUUCGUAGCCGGUUCGGUAAAUCUUUGGGUAAAUCGGGGGGCUUAACCUUCCGACUUCCGAGGAGACUGCCGAACUUGGGACCGGGAGAGGCUAGAGGUACUUCUGGGGUAGGGGUAAAAUCCUGUAAUCCUAGAAGGACCACCGGUGGCGAAGGCGUCUAGCUAGAACGGAUCCGACGGUGAGGGACGAAGCCCUGGGUCGCAAACGGGAUUAGAUACCCUUGUAGUCC